This 243-nucleotide long non-coding RNA is filed under the name Lathyrus oleraceus (garden pea). RNAcentral's name for it is "Pisum sativum (pea) long non-coding RNA (PSAT_LNC008734)". The record is from RNAcentral. Lineage: Eukaryota; Viridiplantae; Streptophyta; Magnoliopsida; Fabales; Fabaceae.
AGAAGUUUUUCAAAUAAAAAACUAAUAAAAAUAUCAGAGAUCUAGGUUGGUAUUUGUGAAAAGAUUUGUGCAAGAGAUUUGGAGGGAUGAGAAAAGAAUAGAUUAUAUUUACAAAUUUGUUGUUUGAAUGGAUGAACCCAUUGCCUAGGUACCAUCACAAAGGAGGACCAAAACCUUGUAGUUCGGGGUAAAAAAAUCUCAAAGAUUGGUGAAUUGAUUUUAAUCAAAAGCCUUAAGGUCUUU